UGAAGCGGCAACAGCUCAAAUUUGAAAUCUGGCCCUUGGGUCCGAGUUGUAAUUUGUAGAGGAUGCUUUUGGUGCGGUGCCUUCCGAGUUCCCUGGAACGGGACGCCAUAGAGGGUGAGAGCCCCGUCUGGUUGGACACCAAGCCUCUGUAAAGCUCCUUCGACGAGUCGAGUAGUUUGGGAAUGCUGCUCUAAAUGGGAGGUAUAUGUCUUCUAAAGCUAAAUAUUGGCCAGAGACCGAUAGCGCACAAGUAGAGUGAUCGAAAGAUGAAAAGCACUUUGAAAAGAGGGUUAAACAGUACGUGAAAUUGUUGAAAGGGAAGCGCUUAUGACCAGACUUGGGCCCGGUUAAUCAUCCAGCGUUCUCGCUGGUGCACUUGGCCGGCCCAGGCCAGCAUCAGUUCGGCGCGGGGGAUAAAGGCUUUGGGAAUGUGGCUCCUCCGGGAGUGUUAUAACCCAUUGUGUAAUACCCUGCACUGGACUGAGGUUCGCGCAUCUGCAAGGAUGCUGGCGUAAUGGUCAUCAGCGACCCGUCUUGAAACACGGACCAAGGAGUCGUCUUCGUAUGCGAGUGUUCGGGUGUUAAACCCCUACGCGUAAUGAAAGUGAACGCAGGUGAGAGCUUCGGCGCAUCAUCGACCGAUCCUGAUGUUCUCGGAUGGAUUUGAGUAAGAGCAUACGGGGCCGGACCCGA
RNAcentral lists this ribosomal RNA (693 nucleotides) under Macroconia bulbipes. RNAcentral's name for it is "partial large subunit ribosomal RNA". It matches the Rfam family "Eukaryotic large subunit ribosomal RNA", at positions 94 to 819 of the family's 3401-position model. Lineage: Eukaryota; Fungi; Ascomycota; Sordariomycetes; Hypocreales; Nectriaceae. The record is from RNAcentral.